This 71-nucleotide transfer RNA is filed under the name Loxodonta africana (African savanna elephant). It matches the Rfam family "tRNA". Rfam says of the family: Transfer RNA (tRNA) molecules are approximately 80 nucleotides in length. Their secondary structure includes four short double-helical elements and three loops (D, anti-codon, and T loops). Further hydrogen bonds mediate the characteristic L-shaped molecular structure. tRNAs have two regions of fundamental functional importance: the anti-codon, which is responsible for specific mRNA codon recognition, and the 3' end, to which the tRNAs corresponding amino acid is attached (by aminoacyl-tRNA synthetases). tRNAs cope with the degeneracy of the genetic code in two manners: having more than one tRNA (with a specific anti-codon) for a particular amino acid; and 'wobble' base-pairing, i.e. permitting non-standard base-pairing at the 3rd anti-codon position. Lineage: Eukaryota; Metazoa; Chordata; Mammalia; Proboscidea; Elephantidae. The record is from Rfam by way of RNAcentral.
ACAUCGGUGGUUCAGUGGAAGAAUUCUUGCCUUCCAUGCGGAAGACCCGAGUUUGAUUCCUAGCCAAUGUA